RNAcentral lists this ribosomal RNA (633 nucleotides) under Leifsonia sp. So3Pt_73. RNAcentral's name for it is "bacterial SSU rRNA". It matches the Rfam family "Bacterial small subunit ribosomal RNA", at positions 382 to 1018 of the family's 1533-position model. The record is from RNAcentral. Lineage: Bacteria; Bacillati; Actinomycetota; Actinomycetes; Micrococcales; Microbacteriaceae.
CCUGAUGCAGCAACGCCGCGUGAGGGAUGACGGCCUUCGGGUUGUAAACCUCUUUUAGUAGGGAAGAAGGGAGCUUGCUCUUGACGGUACCUGCAGAAAAAGCACCGGCUAACUACGUGCCAGCAGCCGCGGUAAUACGUAGGGUGCAAGCGUUGUCCGGAAUUAUUGGGCGUAAAGAGCUCGUAGGCGGUUUGUCGCGUCUGCUGUGAAAACCCGAGGCUCAACCUCGGGCCUGCAGUGGGUACGGGCAGACUAGAGUGCGGUAGGGGAGAAUGGAAUUCCUGGUGUAGCGGUGGAAUGCGCAGAUAUCAGGAGGAACACCGAUGGCGAAGGCAGUUCUCUGGGCCGUAACUGACGCUGAGGAGCGAAAGCGUGGGGAGCGAACAGGAUUAGAUACCCUGGUAGUCCACGCCGUAAACGUUGGGCGCUAGAUGUGGGGACCUUUCCACGGUUUCCGUGUCGCAGCUAACGCAUUAAGCGCCCCGCCUGGGGAGUACGGCCGCAAGGCUAAAACUCAAAGGAAUUGACGGGGGCCCGCACAAGCGGCGGAGCAUGCGGAUUAAUUCGAUGCAACGCGAAGAACCUUACCAAGGCUUGACAUAUACGAGAACGGGCCAGAAAUGGUCAACUCUU